CUACGGGAGGCAGCAGUGAGGAAUUUUGCGCAAUGGGGGAAACCCUGACGCAGCAACGCCGCGUGAGUGAUGAAGGCCCUCGGGUCGUAAAGCUCUGUCAAGUGGGAAGAACCUAUCGAUAUUGAAUAGAUAUUGAUACUGACGGUACCACAAGAGGAAGCACCGGCUAACUCCGUGCCAGCAGGCCGCGGUAAUACGGGGGGUGCAAGCGUUAUUCGGAAUCAUUGGGCGUAAAGGGCGCGCAGGCGGCCUUGUCAGUCAGAUGUGAAAGCCCGGGGCUCAACCCCGGAAGUGCAUUUGGAACUAUGAGGCUUGAGUAUGGGAGAGGGAAGUGGAAUUCCUGGUGUAGCGGUGAAAUGCGUAGAUAUCAGGAGGAACACCGGUGGCGAAGGCGACUUCCUGGACCAAUACUGACGCUGAGGCGCGAAGGCGUGGGGAGCAAACAGGAUUAGAUACCCCCGUAGUC
RNAcentral lists this ribosomal RNA (466 nucleotides) under uncultured bacterium. RNAcentral's name for it is "partial 16S ribosomal RNA". It matches the Rfam family "Bacterial small subunit ribosomal RNA", at positions 339 to 795 of the family's 1533-position model. The record is from RNAcentral.